AGCGUAGGCGGAUAGUUUAGUCAGAGGUGAAAGCCCAGGGCUCAACCUUGGAAAUGCCUUUGAUACUGGCUAUCUUGAGUAUGGGAGAGGUAAGCAGAAUUCCGAGUGUAGAGGUGAAAUUCGUAGAUAUUCGGAAGAACACCGGUGGCGAAGGCGGCUUACUGGCCCAUUACUGACGCUGAGGCUCGAAAGCGUGGGGAGCAAACA
RNAcentral lists this ribosomal RNA (207 nucleotides) under uncultured bacterium. RNAcentral describes it as "partial 16S ribosomal RNA". It matches the Rfam family "Bacterial small subunit ribosomal RNA", at positions 568 to 774 of the family's 1533-position model. The record is from RNAcentral.